UUAUACCUAGGGAUGCAGGCCAGGCUCCAGAAAGAAGGCAUUUUCAUUCAAGCUGAAGAUCUUUUAAAGCCUCUUAUUCUCAUUUAAGGAGAUUGCUUCCUUUGGAAUGCAAUCUUCUUUUUGAUAUGCAGGCAUGUGAGCGUAAAUCCACUACUCUUGUGUAUUUGUACAAUGCAUGAUAUUUUGUAGAGCAAUUAAGCCCCAUAAUUGAAUGCAGAAUCAGAAUUUCCUUCAGUCUUCUCAAUCUGACUUGUUAGCAACCAGAGUGAUUACGGCAGGAGCUGAGGUAAAUGACACUAAUCCAGCGAGGCACAUUUCCAACCUGAAUUGCACACCAAACCUGUUCCUACGCCCCCAUCCCAUGCGAGCAUGAGGCACAAUUAUCACAUGUAAGGUCCUGUUCUGAAAAAGGCAAGAAUCCUACAGGGAAACAGGCUGGGGAGGGAGGGUGCCGUGCUCUUCGUUCCUGUGGCUGAUAAGAAAGCACGUACUGUGUUUCCAGCUCUGUUUCUUCCCUCUUCCCUUUCCUAGCAGUAGCUCUGACAGGCUGAGACCCGGUGCGACACGGUUAUCCAUCUUCUGCAGCAGGACCGUCGGUCAUUCGGGCAGAAAAGCUACUUCUACAGAUUGACUUCCCCUUCCAAAAAAUCGUUCCUAUCCGGAAGAUGUAAUCCCAUCACUGAGAGAACCAUAAAAACCCCUGUGAUUAAAAAGUCUGUGUCACAAAUAGCAAGCUUAGGCCAUAAUAAUAAAAACAGAGGGAAUUUAACCAUGAGUCACUCAGAAAGUUCCUGUAAAUUACUCUUGACGUAGCCUGAGUUGACGCUGAAGAAAUCUGUGAGAAAGUUGUCCUUACAUUCCUGUCGGAUUCCUCAGCAGCUGGGACAGCACUUCUACACCAUGUUCCACCCUGGCUGCCUUGGAGCACAGGCUCGGAUUGCCUCUUGGAUGUGGUGUCCUUCAAUCACGUACCGCCUCCUUUUAAGAGAAGGAAGAACAAAUGGCAAACUGUGGGUAAUGAAAACAACAGAUCAAGAAAAUAGCAUCAGAAUUAAGGUACAAGUGGCCACUUUUGUCAUGGUAGUCUAUCCUCUCUUCUAUAAUUACUCAAAGCACUGCUACAUAGCUUAGCAUUCUUUAUGUCAUAUAUUUGACAAAUAUUUGUCUCUAGUGGCAGAGGCAUAUACCUGUUCUCUGUUAAGAGAAUGAUUGUAUCUGUUUUGUGCGACAGAUUAGUUUGCUAGACCUUUUCUAUCUUUAAAUUUCUGUGCUGGAAUAUGAUGUCUGUUUUGUGCACAAUACCUGUGUGUAAUGUUGCUGGAUCAGGAUGUCUGUUUUGAGCGCAAUACCUGUGUGUAAUGUUGCUGGAUCAGGAUUUUGUAUCUUGCUGGAAAAAUGUGUAAUGCAGUAGCUCCACAUGAUAGUCCAUCAAUUCAAAAUUUUCUAAUUUGUUAAAUUUAAGAAAGCGAUGAAGCUUUUAGUUAAUAUAGCUA
Molecule: long non-coding RNA, 1493 nt
Filed under: Calidris pugnax (ruff)
Lineage: Eukaryota; Metazoa; Chordata; Aves; Charadriiformes; Scolopacidae
Description: lncRNA (ENSCPUG00000001697.1)
Source: RNAcentral